UGGGGAAUAUUGGACAAUGGGCGAAAGCCUGAUCCAGUCAUGCCGCGUGUGUGAAGAAGGUCUUCGGAUUGUAAAGCACUUUAAGUUGGGAGGAAGGGUUGUAGGCUAGUAUCCUGCAAUUUUGACGUUACCGACAGAAUAAGCACCGGCUAACUUCGUGCCAGCAGCCGCGGUAAUACGAAGGGUGCAAGCGUUAAUCGGAAUUACUGGGCGUAAAGCGCGCGUAGGUGGUUCAGCAGGUUGGAUGUGAAAGCCCCGGGCUCAACCUGGGAACUGCAUCCAAAACUACUGAGCUAGAGUACGGUAGAGGGUGGUGGAAUUUCCUGUGUAGCGGUGAAAUGCGUAGAUAUAGGAAGGAACACCAGUGGCGAAGGCGACCACCUGGACUGAUACUGACGCUGAGGCUCGAAAGCGUGGGGAGCAAACA
This 427-nucleotide ribosomal RNA is filed under the name uncultured prokaryote. RNAcentral's name for it is "bacterial SSU rRNA". It matches the Rfam family "Bacterial small subunit ribosomal RNA", at positions 355 to 774 of the family's 1533-position model. The record is from RNAcentral.